UGCCAGCCGCCGCGGUAAUACGGAGGGUGCAAGCGUUAAUCGGAAUUACUGGGCGUAAAGCGCGCGUAGGCGGAUAAUUAAGUCGGAUGUGAAAUCCCCGGGCUCAACCUGGGAACUGCAUCCGAUACUGGUUAUCUAGAGUACGAUAGAGGGUGGUAGAAUUUCUUGUGUAGCGGUGAAAUGCGUAGAUAUAAGAAGGAAUACCAGUGGCGAAGGCGGCCACCUGGAUCGAUACUGACGCUGAGGUGCGAAAGCGUGGGGAGCAAACAGGAUUAGAUA
RNAcentral lists this ribosomal RNA (279 nucleotides) under uncultured bacterium. RNAcentral describes it as "partial 16S ribosomal RNA". It matches the Rfam family "Bacterial small subunit ribosomal RNA", at positions 506 to 784 of the family's 1533-position model. The record is from RNAcentral.